This 253-nucleotide ribosomal RNA is filed under the name uncultured bacterium. RNAcentral describes it as "partial 16S ribosomal RNA". It matches the Rfam family "Bacterial small subunit ribosomal RNA", at positions 524 to 776 of the family's 1533-position model. The record is from RNAcentral.
UACGGGGGGAGCAAGCGUUGUUCGGAUUUACUGGGUUUAAAGGGUGCGUAGGUGGGUCUGUAAGUCAGUGGUGAAAUCUCCGGGCUUAACCCGGAAACUGCCAUUGAUACUAUAGGUCUUGAAUUUUCUGGAGGUCAGCGGAAUAUGUCAUGUAGCGGUGAAAUGCUUAGAUAUGACAUAGAACACCAAUUGCGAAGGCAGCUGGCUACAGGAACAUUGACACUGAGGCACGAAAGCGUGGGGAUCAAACAGG